AAAAGUCGUAACAAGGUUUCCGUAGGUGAACCUGCGGAAGGAUCAUUACCCUUUGCUCAAGGCGUCCAUCGGGCCCCCUGGCCCCUCGGGCGUCGUGGCAAUCAACCCUUGCCUAUGUUGUACCCUCCGUCCAUCCCUCGGCGGGCUUGCGCCCGUCAGGGGUCCGAACCACCCUUGCAUCAAAGCAUCAAACUCUCUGAAUGAACUAAAAUAUCACAACUUUCAACAAUGGAUCUCUUGGUUCUGGCAUCGAUGAAGAACGCAGCGAAAUGCGAUAAGUAGUGUGAAUUGCAGACUUUAGUGAAUCAUCGAAUCUUUGGACGCACAUUGCGCCCUUUGGUAUUCCAUUGGGCAUGCCUGUUCGAGCGUCACAUGCAACCUCAAGCCUUGCUUGGUGUUGGGCGCCCGUCCCGCUCACAGCGUGGACUCGCCCCAAAGACAUUGGCAGCGGCCCCGCCAGCUUCUUGCGCAGCACUUUGCGCUCCCGGAAGUCACUGGAGGGCUCGCGUCCAUCAAGAACCCCUCUGUUUGACCUCGGAUCAGGUAGGGAUACCCGCUGAACUUAAGCAUAUCAAUAAGCGGAGGAAAAGAAACCAACAGGGAUUGCCCUAGCAACGGCGAGUGAAGCGGCAACAGCUCAAAUUUGAAAUCUGGCCCCCUGUGGGGUCCGAGUUGUAAUUUGCAGAGGGCGCUUUGGCGUUGGCGGCGGUCUAAGUUCCUUGGAACAGGACGUCACAGAGGGUGAGAAUCCCGUACGUGGCCGUCUGCCUUUGCCGUGUAAAGCCCCUUCGACGAGUCGAGUUGUUUGGGAAUGCAGCUCUAAAUGGGAGGUAAAUUUCUUCUAAAGCUAAAUACUGGCCAGAGACCGAUAGCGCACAAGUAGAGUGAUCGAAAGAUGAAAAGCACUUUGGAAAGAGAGUCAAAUAGCACGUGAAAUUGUUGAAAGGGAAGCGCUUGCAGCCAGACUUGCCUGCGGUCGUUCGCUUCCGCAGGCAGGCCAGCAUCAGUUUGGGCGAUCGGAUAAGGGCCUCUGUCAUGUAUCUUCCUUCGGGACGACCUUAUAGGGGAGGCGUAGUACGAUCAGCCCGGACUGAGGUCCGCGCAUCUGCUAGGAUGCUGGCGUAAUGGCUGUAAGCGGCC
RNAcentral lists this ribosomal RNA (1140 nucleotides) under uncultured fungus. RNAcentral's name for it is "eukaryotic LSU rRNA". The stretch from base 530 to 1140 matches the Rfam family "Eukaryotic large subunit ribosomal RNA", at positions 1 to 649 of the family's 3401-position model. Lineage: Eukaryota; Fungi. The record is from RNAcentral.